UAGGUCGACCCGCUGAAUUUAAGCAUAUCACUAAGCGGAGGAAAAGAAACUAACCAGGAUUCCCCUAGUAACGGCGAGUGAAGAGGGAAAAGCCCAGCACCGAAGCCUGUGGCAAUUUUGCUGCUAGGCAAUGUGGUGUUUAGGUCGGCUCGUGGGAUCGCCACUCCACUCGAAGUCCAGCAUUGAGUAUGGUUCCCAGGAAUUGGCCCAUAGAGGGUGAAAGGCCCGUACGAGUGGAAGUGUCAGAUAUGUAAGGCGAUUCACCAGGCCGGCCUUAGAGUCGGGUUGUUUGCGAAUGCAGCCCAAAGUGGGUGGUAAACUCCAUCCAAGGCUAAAUACUAGCACGAGUCCGAUAGCGAACAAGUACCGUGAGGGAAAGUUGAAAAGUACUUUGAAGAGAGAGUAAACAGUACGUGAAACCGCAUAGAGGUAAACGGGUGGCGUCAAGCUGCAAGCCCAGAGAAUUCAGUCGGUCAGGGUGUUGUCAUGCGCCCAGCGCAUCUAUCAGUCGGUGUAGGAUUUGGCUAGUCCGCUUGAAGAUGGCGGGCCCAGCUAGCAAUAGCUGGGAUUUGCGUACCGGGCGGUAGCCGGAGCAUGCUAGCCGUCUGUAGGACUGCCUGGCCGAUGCACUUUCUCUGUUGGUGAACACCACGACCGGUGGUACUGCCAGUCUGCUGUAGCCAGCUUCGUUGCAUACUCUGGCCUUUUGGUUGGGGCGUGUGGCGAUCACAGACAAUUUCAGUGCACGGUGCUUGUGUGUUUUUCGCAUGCGGGCAUGUUAUCGGGAACUGGUUGUAAACGGGUCGGCCUGUCGACUUGUCUGUAGUCGUGGUUGAUGGGUGACCCGGUGGGCUAUGGUGGUAUGAAUAACUGUGCAGGGCACCGGAGUUUUCGGUCCGACCAGCAGUAGUCGUUCGCGGCUGCUGUUGCCGGCUGCAUACGCACUGCAGUUUAGCGUGUGCACUGUCUUUGGCAGUAGUACGGGCGGCGCUGUUUACGGCCUGCCAGUCGUUGGGUCUGAUUGUCGUGUCGCCUGCCAAAAUGGUGGGUCCGGCGGUGGCCUGGCGUUGGAUGGUGCCUGUAGACGGAGCUGUCGUUGUGCAGCCGGUAUUUGUGUGCGCGACCUUAUAGUCUGUGGUGUAGUGGUAGACGAGCUACCCGACCCGUCUUGAAACACGGACCAAGGAGUUUAACAUGCGCGCGAGUCAUUGGGUCCUACGAAACCCAGAGGCGCAGUGAAAGUAAAGCUUCGACAUAUAUUGUUCUCGGGGUGUGGUGAGAUCCUGCUGUUUCUCGCAUACAUUUGUCCAGCACUGGGCUAACUAAACGAGCAGUGGGCGCAUCACCGGCCCGUCCCAUGAUGUGGCUAUCUGUCAGUGGCAGUUGUCGCCUUACGGUGGUGGUUGCUUUCUGCGGGUACGUCAUCGGGGCGGAGCAUGAGCGCGCAUGUUGAGACCCGAAAGAUGGUGAACUAUGCUUGCGUAGGUUGAAGCCAGAGGAAACUCUGGUGGAGGACCGCAGCGAUUCUGACGUGCAAAUCGAUCGUCAAACGUGAGUAUAGGGGCGAAAGACUAAU
This 1576-nucleotide ribosomal RNA is filed under the name Caryophyllaeus laticeps. RNAcentral describes it as "LSU rRNA". It matches the Rfam family "Eukaryotic large subunit ribosomal RNA", at positions 16 to 935 of the family's 3401-position model. The record is from RNAcentral. Lineage: Eukaryota; Metazoa; Platyhelminthes; Cestoda; Caryophyllidea; Caryophyllaeidae.